AAGGGCGGGCUGGUUGUGAGCUGGAUUGGAGCAGAACUGCCAAGUAGCAUGAGGUGUCCCAGGCAACGUGGGCUGUGAUGUUAGUUCUUGAGAAUUGGAACGAAGCAGGUGCUGAUUGCGGUCUUCUUUGGUGGAGUGGAUGAUACUGGCUUCACUGUUGGACCUUGGACUCGGAGAGGAACACGUGAGCACAAUCGUAGGUUGCAUCAGCAGUAGUCAGCAUUGUGGAGAAGCUCCCUUGCUGGCUGCAGCAGUAUAUUUUGCCCGUAAUUCUGCGUGUG
Non-coding RNA from Anas platyrhynchos (mallard), 281 nucleotides. NCBI's taxonomy places the organism in Eukaryota, Metazoa, Chordata, Aves, Anseriformes, Anatidae. The record is from RefSeq and is a predicted model, not a curated record.